This is a long non-coding RNA of Helianthus annuus (common sunflower), 734 nucleotides long. RefSeq lists it as uncharacterized. NCBI's taxonomy places the organism in Eukaryota, Viridiplantae, Streptophyta, Magnoliopsida, Asterales, Asteraceae. The record is from RefSeq and is a predicted model, not a curated record. The transcript is spliced from 4 exons.
GACGUUUCCGCCACGUUUUGUUGUUACACGUGGUCGGGGUGUGACAGCCUACUUAUGUAGCAGUCGCUAUCUCAGAGACUGUUGGGAAGGUUUGUUUAUCUAUUUCCUUGAAACUAUUGAUUCAUUUCCUUAACUUCGUUUUGUAGGUGGUAACAUAUUCUAUUCAAACUGAUUUUAACCCAUUUGGGUAAAUUCAUUGAUAAGGUGGUAACAUAUUAUAUUCAAACUGAUAGUGUGGAAUCUCAAAAUGUUUCGACUUCUGGACCAGAUAUGAAUAGGUUAUCAAGCACAUCUUCACUUCCUUCAGGUGAUGAUGAUCUGCGAAACGAUAUACAGUCAAUGAAAGUUCAACGAGCUCGUACUCCGCCCAUUGAUGCAGUUGCUCCUUAUGACAAAGUCAAGUUGAGGAAGGUCCCCGAAUGAGCAACGCCUCUCUUCCCAAAGGAAGAGGAAAGACACACUUUUCUUGAACAGAUCCGGGCCAAGUCCUCCAACUUGAAGCCAACUAUCAAAAGCAGGCCCAUUGUUAUUCGGGGCCCCAUGACGAACUUGAGGGUAGCUGCCAUUUUAGAAAAAGCAAAUGCAAUUCGUCAGGCAUUUGAUGGAAGUGAUGAUGAUGAAGAUGACAAUGAUAGUUGGAGCGACUCAUGAGAACAUAUAAUUGAUGCUAUAUCAUCAUAUCUUAUCUUGUGUAAAUGUUUGUCCUUUUCAUCUUGUAUACCUGUUUGUCCUUU